Molecule: long non-coding RNA, 1310 nt
Organism: Cavia porcellus (domestic guinea pig)
Lineage: Eukaryota; Metazoa; Chordata; Mammalia; Rodentia; Caviidae
Exons: 5
Source: RefSeq, a predicted model, not a curated record
UUUAAUUGCGUUUUCAUUUUCUGCUGAGUACAAACUGCGUCUUUGGGAUUCUCUCCUGGCUGGUUUGGAAGAGCACUCUCGUCCCUCCCGAGUGGCAGCGCAUGUGCUCCAUGGUAUCAGGUCCUGACUUCCCUGUGCCGGUAGACAUUUAAACAUUGCUACCCUCCAGAGAGCUGUUGGAUGUCAUCAGUUCCUUGAAACUCAUCACGGACUAAUUCUGUGUGGUGAAUGCCUGACAUCAGGGAAUCCUAGCCGGUGGAGGGUGCCAAAAUAUGACGAAAACCACUGGCACGAUGGUCCCGUUUUCUGCUGGAUACUUUACCUGGAUGAAUACUAAGGAUCAUGGCAUGAAAUUCUUUUAAAGGGAAAAUCCAACUGUGCUCCACCCUGAGACCAGCUUGAUGAUAUGGAUUCUCUGCCAGCUGUGAUGCUGACCCUAUGCUGUGUCUGAGCUGCCUUUCAAGUUGAGCAUCCAGGGCGAGGUUCACAGAGGGAGAGCUCACACAAGGGUACAUGUGGGCCUGAAUACUCAGACUCAGGGUCCUGGCUCCCAGAAGGUGCACGCUGACACCUGUACAGCAGAUCCACUGAGGGCAGGAAUCUGCCAUCCUGGACAUUGCUGGGUAGGGUCCCCUGUGUCCUGCAGCCCCACAAAUGGAAAGGAGAUUUUGGGAAGUGAAGAGGAGCUGAGACCCCACAGUCUCCAUCCAUGGCAGCAGGGGCAAAAGGAGAAGGACCAUGGUGGCUGAAACCAUGCACUGUCCUGGGCUCCCUCAUUGGCCUCCUCAGCUCACAGCCUGGCCUCCCCUCCUGGAUCCUGGCAGAUCCUGCACUCGACCUAGAAGCCUGACCUCUACAGGGAGUGCAGGAAAUGACGAAGUCCUGGAUUAACCGAAGAUGGGACUGCAGAGAAACCAAGUCUUCAACACUGAAGCAAAGAUUCUUUUUCCUCUUUUGAAAACCAGCAAUUUAAACAGAAGGGUGGUGAAGUUUUACUAUAAAUUGAAUUUUAUUUAAUAUGCCUGAAAUCUCAGUUUAGGGGCUUGGAGGCCGCUGUCUGCCCCGUGGUGGGGGCAGGAGAAGAAGUGCCCGCCUCUCACCAGCCCUGGGCCCCAGGUCCUGCCCCCUGGGCCUCUCUUGGGAAGUGUGACAGUCACUGCCCUGAGAACCUACGGCAGCUUCAUUUCUGGGCCUCAGAUGCCCAGAAGCAUGGAGGAACUUGUCCCUUUGGGCUGCUGGUCAUUGGUCUUGACCUCCUGCCUUCUAUGGUGUGUUUUCCCCUCUGUGACCCCGAGCUUUACAUAAAGCGC